GUUGACCUCGGAUCAGGUAGGGAUACCCGCUGAACUUAAGCAUAUCAAUAAGCGGAGGAAAAGAAACCAACAGGGAUUGCUCUAGUAACGGCGAGUGAAGCAGCAAUAGCUCAAAUUUGAAAUCUGGCGUCUUCGGCGUCCGAGUUGUAAUUUGUAGAGGAUGCUUCUGAGUAACCACCGACCUAAGUUCCUUGGAACAGGACGUCAUAGAGGGUGAGAAUCCCGUAUGCGGUCGGAAAGGUGCUCUACACGUAGCUCCUUCGACGAGUCGAGUUGUUUGGGAAUGCAGCUCUAAAUGGGAGGUAAAUUUCUUCUAAAGCUAAAUAUUGGCCAGAGACCGAUAGCGCACAAGUAGAGUGAUCGAAAGAUGAAAAGCACUUUGGAAAGAGAGUUAAAAAGCACGUGAAAUUGUUAAAAGGGAAGGGAUUGCAACCAGACUUGCUCGCGGUGUUCCGCCGGUCUUCUGACCGGUCUACUCGCCGCGUUGCAGGCCAGCAUCGUCUGGUGCCGCUGGAUAAGACUUGAGGAAUGUAGCUCCCUCGGGAGUGUUAUAGCCUCUUGUGAUGCAGCGAGCGCCGGGCGAGGUCCGCGCUUCGGCUAGGAUGCUGGCGUAAUGGUCGUAAUCCGCCCGUCUUGAAACACGGACCAAGGAGUCUAACAUCUAUGCGAGUGUUCGGGUGUCAAACCCCUACGCGUAAUGAAAGUGAACGGAGGUGAGAACCGCAAGGUGCAUCAUCGACCGAUCCUGAUGUCUUCGGAUGGAUUUGAGUAAGAGCAUAGCUGUUGGGACCCGAAAGAUGGUGAACUAUGCCUGAAUAGGGUGAAGCCAGAGGAAACUCUGGUGGAGGCUCGCAGCGGUUCUGACGUGCAAAUCGAUCGUCAAAUUUGGGUAUAGGGGCGAAAGACUAAUCGAACCAUCUAGUAGCUGGUUCCUGCCGAAG
RNAcentral lists this ribosomal RNA (941 nucleotides) under Cladosporium cladosporioides. Its description in RNAcentral is "eukaryotic LSU rRNA". It matches the Rfam family "Eukaryotic large subunit ribosomal RNA", at positions 1 to 966 of the family's 3401-position model. The record is from RNAcentral. Lineage: Eukaryota; Fungi; Ascomycota; Dothideomycetes; Cladosporiales; Cladosporiaceae.